Unclassified non-coding RNA from Stegodyphus dumicola, 4997 nucleotides. The record is from RefSeq and is a predicted model, not a curated record. Lineage: Eukaryota; Metazoa; Arthropoda; Arachnida; Araneae; Eresidae.
AUGGAAUGCUCAGUUUGACGGGAGAGGGAAAGAGAAGCUCUUUCUUUUCGCGCUUAUGCGGUGGUUUGACAACAGCGGUGUUUACAGAUGUUGAAAGGCAAACGAGGUGUAAGCGCGUGCAGUUUAAGUAGCUGCCGGAUACGGGCAGAAGCGCUGGCCAGAGCUUUCAACAGCCGGAUAUGGCCGUGCACGUGGGUCGAUCGCGGAGCGCCGGAUGAUAAGGAUAGCCUUUCGAACGGUGUGAGUGCGGACGAUGACGAAGAAUUCUUCGACGCGUCUCCCUCUCCGAUAGAGAACGAAGAAGAAUCUCUCUAUUCCCGUUACGGUGAGAGCUCAGCCGCGACUGAGGCAGGUAGAACAAAAUUAUUUGAACUCUUACAGCAGCAUGCUUCUGAUGACGCAACUGAUGUUUUUUAUGACGUCAGCGAAGAUGCCGGUCUGUCAGAGAAUGUCAACCAUAUCGCUGAUGAAACGUGCCUUAAAGAUGAAAACGUCGGUGAGCAAUCUAAAAAUGAAAAUUUCCUAGAAUCUACUAAAACAGAUGACGAGAAAAUUAAUUCAAGUAAUACCUCUCUAUCGACUGAGACCGUAGAAAGCGAAAUAAUCACAAACUUGCCAUAUGUUAAUCAUUCUGAUAGCAAUCAAAUAAUCACUAAUUCCGCAGCUAUUAUUAAUAACCACUCUGACGUCUCAGUAACAACCGCUUGUUCUGUAAAUGAUAGUAGCUUUAAUUUUGAAGAAGAUAAAAAUAUUAGCAAUGCAGUCCCUGCUUCAGAGGUUGGUAAUUGUUACGUUAAAGAGUUAUCUAAUUUUGAUAUUGAAAAUCCUAACGUUCAAGAUAAAGAAUUUCUGGUAACUCAACCAAAAUGCCAAGAACUAAGUAGUGGUACAGAUAUAAAUUUAGAUUAUAAUAAUAUAGAAUCAUCUAGAACCGAAGAGAGACAACAUGAAGAUUCCCCAGAUGACGAAACUAUUGAGAUUAAUUUAAAUGAAAAAUUUAUAUCGCUACGUAAAAUAGAUUCAGAAAUUAAAGUAACGAAACAUGAUGCAGAAACGGAAUCUAGUGAAUAUUCCGAAACAGUAGAAAAUAGUGAAACAGAUGAAGUGGCUAUCAAAGUUAUCGAUGAAUUAAACGAUUUGCCUUCUGAAAGGGAAUAUGAAUUACCGACAAUAUCUCCAACCGCAGACCGUAGCAACAGGUUGCAGGUAUUUGAUGAAUGUAGACCUAAGAUUUCUCGUAGCACAUCUCUCAAAACGGGAAAGACCCCACCUGGCACUCCGAGCAGGAAAAAAAUUGUUCGAUUCGCUGAUGUACUAGGACUAGACUUGGAAGAUGUUCGUCAUAUAAUGACAACUGACGUACCCAUUAUUCCAUCUUCUGCGUACACCGAUUUAGACCUAAACGAUGACGACUUACUAUCUAUAACUCCAGUCUCUGAAACCGUCGAAAUCAAAAGCAGACAACCUGACUCGUGGGAAACUGUGCAGGUUUCUGCAAGUCCAAAUAUUCUAUGUGCCAUGUUCCCAAAUCCUGGACAGCAGUCGGACUUCAUGGACAGAGUUAGGAAUCAAGGUAUUUGUCUGGAGUCUGUGAUCAUCUCGGACAUGAGUGUGCAGUGCACGUGCCGGGUGAUGAACUGGGGUUACAAAAAGAGAGUGGUUGCCAGGUAUACUGUCAAUGAAUGGGCGUCUUCGAAUGACAUAGAUGCCUCUUACGUGCCUGGUUCGUCACAAGGAGAAACUGACAGCUUCGUUUUUAAUAUCUUUUUGUCUCCCCUCAUAAAGAAGGUGCAAUUUGCCAUCCGUUAUGUGGUCAACAACAAAGAAUUUUGGGACAACAACAAAGGAAUGAAUUAUAGCCUCGGUCAUCACGGUAAUAAUAGCAUAAUACCUGCUUCUAGUCCUCCAUGGUUGCACCAGUUUUGGUAAAUACAAGUAAUCUGUUAUUAUGUUGAUAUUUUAUAUAUAUGUAUACAUAUUGGUAGUACGUCAUUGUCAGUACAAAUUAUUAAUUUAUUAUUGGGACUUUUCAGACUGGUGCUUGCUUUGCGCAAAAUAUUUUCAUGCAAUUACUGCAGAAAGCUUCAUUCUUUGGAAAUAUUCUGAGAGCAAGUAGUCAGUGUAUCUUUUCAAUUACAUGCUUUAAUAUUUUAGCUAAAAUGGCAAAAUUGUUUAAAAGAAACAAAUAUUUUUAUUUCAUUCCUAUUAUUGUUUUCAGUCAAAGACAUGAUUCACCCAUUAAGUGUUCAUAACUUAUUGGGAAUGUAUGUGUAAUUAUGCGAUUAAACUACAGUUUUUUGGUAUUUUUUGUUGAUUAUUCUUAUAAUUUUUUAAAAUUGCUUGCAUUAGAGAAAAUUUAAAAAAUAAAUAAAUAUUAUAUUACAUUUUUAUAUCAUAGAUACAGUUGUUUGUAAAUGCAUUGAAAUUGUUAUAAAUAAUAAUAAUAAUUAGUAAAGUAAACGAAUUUCUUAAACGACUCAAAAAAGUGUAAAAUUUACGUUGAUACCUUGAAAUUCAAACUAACACCUCAAAGGCAUCACGAAUUCAAUUCCUUAAAAUGUGAAACAUGCGAUUUCAUAAAAAGUAUAAGUAAUGGUCUUAUAGUAAGAAAUAAUAUUUAUUCUUACAUUCGUAUGCCAUGAUUUUUGAUGGUAGGAUAACUAUAUUAAUCAGAUUCUGGUGUUUAUAUGCUAUGUACUCUAUCCAGUGAUUUCGCUGUCAUUUUCUAAUAAAAUGAAGUUUGUAAAGAUAAGUUAUUUCAUGAACUUGAGUUGAGUACGAAGUGAAAGUAUGAAACAGUAUGAACCAAAGUUUGCUGAAAUACAUUGCAUAUGUUGGUUCUUAGCUGAGAUAAUGUAAUGAAAGGCAGAUAAAGACUCACUGCCUCGAUGAUAUUAUGAGAUCGGUACUUCCUAGCUAGGGUCAUGAUGUCUGUGAAUUUACUUCAGAGAUGUCUGUGCAGGGACUUCCAAUAACUAGUCCGAUUUAUAAAUAACUUAAAUAUUUAAUGAAAACUUAAAUAUUUAACUUAAAUAUUUAAUGAAAUAAAAUGAAUAAUUAAUAGUUAUUACAAACUACGAAAUGAUUACAUUCGUAGACGGAAAUAGAUGAGAUUAUUUACAGAUUUAAAAGCUAACAUCUUAUGUACAGAACAUCGCCUUCCAUCCAUCUUAAUGGCGAAAUCGUCUGUCUCCUCCUAUCACAAACCCCCCCCCAAAAAAAGAGUUCUUUUACGCAGCUUGCCAUGCCAUCUCAUUGUUGUGGACAAUGCCAUCCUACAGUAAUUUGCUGAAAUAGAUUUAAUGAAAUGCCAUUUUAAUAUCAAAUCCUUAUAUUUCAAUUCUAGUAGCAAAACUAAAUCUUCUGUGUAAAAAAAAACAUUUAAUUCUAAAACGAAAUCCAUUAUAUAAACUGUUGUCACAAAACGAUAAUACAAUAAUAUGCAAAGUUAACAUUUAUAAUUAUUAAAAUAGAGUUACUUUUAAAUUAAGUAUUUACAUUUUAUGCUGUUACAUUUACACAUUUUAUACCGUUACACAUAAUAUAAAUAUUUCACCUUUCGUUUAAAAUGAAAAUAGUAUGCUUACGGUUGCCAUCUAUAAAACUGGAAUUCGCGGUUUAAAUAAAUUUACAUUGAAGUACCUAGAAUGUUACAUAUCCUAUAUUGUUACAAUACUGUACUGCUGUCUUAAGGUUUGUCUGAAAGAAAUUCUGUACCAAGACUCAUAUAAUAUGGAGUUGGACUUUAUUAUUAAAUAUAUUACUAUUAUUCUAAUAAUAUACAUUUAUAUAUAAUAACUAUUCGAGUGAUAUUAACUAUUUGAGUUAACUAUUUGAGUGAUAUUCAAGUUAAUGAAAUAACUAAUCUUUGCAGUUUGCAUUUUAUUUUCAAAUGUCUGUGAAAUCAUUGCAUAGAGCCCAUUAUACAUGAACACCAAAAUAUUAUUAAUAACGUUUUUCUGCCAGCAAAAAUGUCAAACUAAUAUUAAGGUGCAUAUAUUUUAAACGGCUUUUGUUGAACCGAUAAGCAACGUAAUGCAAUAAUUUGAAAAGGAAACAAAAGAUCCAAUGCCACGUGGAUUGGCAAGUUUCCCAUUUUGCGAAGACAAUGUUUUCUUUGCAAAGUGAAAACAAAAGCGUCUUUUUCCACAUGCAAAUAGGAAAAAUGUUUAAGAGCGUUUGAAAAAUUAGAUGAAAAGUAAACUCGGAUAUAAAAGCAUCUAAAUUUUUAAGUUAUUCCUGUCAAACUAAUUUUGAUGUUUUCAAAUAAAUAUUAUAUUCCUAUGAUGAUUGAUUCAUUUCUUAAAAAUUGAAUAUUGCUGAUAAUAGAAGCAAAAAACUCCGAUUCUAAGAAAAUCAAUCUUUUUGUUUUACCUAGUUCCAAAAUAUUAAUCUACUUAGUAUCAUAAUUUUAGCAACAUUUUAUGAUUUGCUUUAUUAGUGUUAUAAUAUUGAACCCAAUGAAAACUGUGAUGUGUGUCUAAACUUAUGACAAAAUUUAUGAUAAUUAUAUUUUACCAUAAAUAUAUGAUAAUUAUUAAUCUUAAGCAGAUUUAUGUAUGUCUUUUAAUUUUACGUUGAUAUUUUAAUAACAUUUAACAUAUAUGUACUAAAAUUUAUAACACUUUUGUGACUGGUUCGUUAUUAUUUUCAGUCUUAAUAAGCUUGGCGUAUCAUGAUUUAGUUAGUAAUUUUUUACUUUAUAAUAUUAGAAAUUUUCUAAUAUUGAAAAAUUUUGAUAUAUUAUUAUGAAAUUAUUAUACAACAAAUUAUGAAUUUAUUAUAAAACAAAGAAGAAACCACGGAAAGUAAUAUUUAUUGCUAAUAUAUAUGAUCUCUAAAUCGAAAGAUAUAGUUAUCCAAAAUGCAUAAUAUAUUGCGGCCAAUAUAUUUUUAAUUAAUUUUUAAGAUGUCUGAAAAAGUAUUCUUACUUUUAACAUGCCUUAGAAAUAAACAAAAAAGAAUUCAUGUUUGAAAAAAAAAAAAAAAAAAAAAAA